RNAcentral lists this transfer RNA (69 nucleotides) under Pyrinomonadaceae bacterium. RNAcentral describes it as "tRNA-OTHER". The record is from RNAcentral. Lineage: Bacteria; Pseudomonadati; Acidobacteriota; Blastocatellia; Blastocatellales; Pyrinomonadaceae.
ACUUCAGCCAUUCGGUAAGCGGCCCUGAAAAGGCCGGCGUCGGCGGUUCGAUUCCGUCCCUGGCCACCA